GACGAACGCUGGCGGCGUGCCUAAUACAUGCAAGUCGAGCGGACGGAUGGGAGCUUGCUCCCAGACCGUCAGCGGCGGACGGGUGAGUAACACGUGGGCAACCUGCCUGUAAGACUGGGAUAACUCCGGGAAACCGGGGCUAAUACCGGAUAACUCUUUCCCUCACCUGAGGGAAAGCUGAAAGAUGGCAUCUCGCUAUCACUUACCGAUGGGCCCGCGGCGCAUUAGCUAGUUGGUGAGGUAACGGCUCACCAAGGCGACGAUGCGUAGCCGACCUGAGAGGGUGAUCGGCCACACUGGGACUGAGACACGGCCCAGACUCCUACGGGAGGCAGCAGUAGGGAAUCUUCCGCAAUGGACGAAAGUCUGACGGAGCAACGCCGCGUGAGUGAUGAAGGUUUUCGGAUCGUAAAACUCUGUUGUCAGGGAAGAACAAGUACCGGAGUAACUGCCGGUACCUUGACGGUACCUGACCAGAAAGCCACGGCUAACUACGUG
RNAcentral lists this ribosomal RNA (498 nucleotides) under uncultured bacterium. RNAcentral describes it as "partial 16S ribosomal RNA". It matches the Rfam family "Bacterial small subunit ribosomal RNA", at positions 28 to 507 of the family's 1533-position model. The record is from RNAcentral.